This 434-nucleotide ribosomal RNA is filed under the name uncultured Lachnospiraceae bacterium. Its description in RNAcentral is "partial 16S ribosomal RNA". It matches the Rfam family "Bacterial small subunit ribosomal RNA", at positions 341 to 792 of the family's 1533-position model. Lineage: Bacteria; Bacillati; Bacillota; Clostridia; Lachnospirales; Lachnospiraceae. The record is from RNAcentral.
ACGGAAGGCAGCAGUGGGGAAUAUUGCACAAUGGGCGAAAGCCUGAUGCAGCGACGCCGCGUGAGUGAAGAAGUAUUUCGGUAUGUAAAGCUCUAUCAGCAGGGAAGAAAAUGACGGUACCUGACUAAGAAGCCCCGGCUAACUACGUGCCAGCAGCCGCGGUAAUACGUAGGGGGCAAGCGUUAUCCGGAUUUACUGGGUGUAAAGGGAGCGUAGACGGUAAUGCAAGUCUGAAGUGAAAGCUCGGGGCUCAACUCCGGAAUUGCUUUGGAAACUGUGUUACUAGAGUGCAGGAGAGGCAAGUGGAAUUCCUAGUGUAGCGGUGAAAUGCGUAGAUAUUAGGAGGAACACCAGUGGCGAAGGCGGCUUGCUGGACUGUAACUGACGUUGAGGCUCGAAAGCGUGGGGAGCAAACAGGAUUAGAUACCCUGGUA